UAUUAACUAAAUAUAAACAUGGGUCGCUUAGAGAUUCACAAAAAAGCUGUACUAACCGGUAAAAGUCAUUUUAGUAGCAGCAGCUAGUCGCCUUACUAAUUACUAACUAAAGAGAGAUCGGUAUCGUUUGUAACUAAGCAUUCAAUCAGAAUCCCCCGGUCACACUCUGUGUUCCGCUGUCUUGUAUUUCCCAAGUCCCGUAUUUCUUUAGAUUGACAGCAGCAUCCCUAUUCCUACUAAUAGUAAUUGUUCUGUUAUCAGUGCAUUAUAUUCUAAUUAGUUCAAUGUGUUAGCUGUGAAAGUUUAUUCCUUUGCUCUUUUGACGCUUAAUUCAAAACAACGUGUCUGCGAAUCGGUCCUUGUUUAAUGAUUUCAUGGGUAGGAGCCCAAAUUGUUGGUCACGAUGUAGGGACUCGAGUUGUCCGUCUUUUACAGCUUGUUAGUCUUUGAAGGGAUUAGCCUUUGUUGUGUCGUAAUUGUUAAUGUUACUGGUUACAUUUCCUUAUUGUUGCGCGUGUGUUUACCCGUGUCUUGUGUGUACCCUGUCCGAUCCUCGUGUGUAAUUAGCUUAUGUAAAUCUCCCAUCAUGUGCGCGUCUUACAGUUCGGCGUCUGACAAUGUUGUGUUUCCUGUAUGUAAUUGGUCGGAUGUGCUUUGCGUGUCUGAUGUAGUUUUUUUUUCUUGGCGGCUAAUAUAGAGCGUGUUCUCUCUGGCCAGUGACUCUUUGUGUUCCUCUCUUUUUCUGCGAUGCCUCGGUAUCAGAACCAAGGCAAAGCAAAAAAACAAAACAGAAUACAAGUGAGGAAACAUAGGAACUAGAAAUACAAAUGAAACACUAGGAAAACACGCUUAUUUUAAUUAUUUUAAUUUAUUUUAUAUUACCAUUCUUCAUAUUAGGUAUUUCCUUUUUGAUUAAGCUUGCAUUAUGUAAUUUCAACUGCACGGUGUAUUUUUAUUAAUAAGCACAUUCUGAGUUUUUGCAAUAUUGUUUAUUUAUUACGAAUGCUUUUUUGUAAAGCAUUUUGUAAUGCAGUAUUUCUACAACUUCUACAAUGUGCACCCCACCUAGGUCAUUCUGGUCUCAGGUCAAUCAUGUGUGGAAGAAAUUUCUCGAAGUCCGAUGUUUAAGUGUUUGACAGAACUUUAUUAUUCGAUGAGCUCAAAGGGAACAGACACUCAGCAAUCAUGCGUCUCGUGUUCUGCUCCCCGAACUACAAGUGCAUACAUCUCUUAUAGCCAAAAAUGCCGUCAUCAGAUAGUUCAAAGAAAAGGAGAAGGUGUCUGUAGACACCAGGCACUUCUGUUUAUUGAGGCUUGCUUAUCAGCACAGAAAUUCCUCUGCAGUUUCAUACUGAGUCGAGUUAAAUUUAUCCAAUUACCCAAUUACUUUUAUCUCACUUCCAGGUCAUGCUGACCCAGGCCCUUGCUGAGCAAGCUACAUUAUGGCAAACGUUAGUUCCUUCAUAGAAAAUAGAAAUCCCUUUACUUACAGUAAGCAAGCUUGCAUUAGUACAUUGUGCUUAAUACAUCAGACUGAUUCAAGUGAGGUUAUAUUGUUUCAAUCAUUAUAGGUGUCAUGCCCUGCUCGUCGGCUCCUCCUGUGUGCCACGCCCCCUGCUUACCCACGUGUGUUUCCCGGAUUGUACCCAGCUGUGUCUGCUUAUUUUCAAUCAGUCCUGUGUAUUUCAGUCCGUGUCUUACCCAAGUCCUUUGUCCGUCAUUGAUGUCAGUCUGCGUCCAAUGUUCCCGGCUCCCCGAAGCCCGAAUAAACCCCGUACUUUGCCCCGAGUUCUGCUUGUCUGCCUGUCCUUGCCCGCCUGCCCGCACGAUCGCCGCUCUGCCCGCGAUCUCCCGUGACAAUAGGUAAAUCAACAACACAUUUUAAUCUCAAUUGUUAAUUACUGAUUAGGUAAUGCAUUUGCAUAAUCAUCUAUAUUCCAUUAUUGAUUACAGAUUAGCAUAAUCAAGAAUUUUCUAUCACAAUCUUUGUGAGGAUGAAUUGUUACUAAUGGUGUGCAGACUGACUAACAUGUCUGUAGGUGGUUUUUCAUUGCAGCGUAGGCCAGUGUUACAGUUGUACUCAAUUAUAUCUGUUCCAGUGCUGCAUCCAUCCAUUGUCUGAAACUGCUUGUCUAACUCAGGGUCCCUAUGGGCGCAAGGCAGGGAACGUCCCAUGACAGGGUGCCAACCCAUUGCAGGACACGCUCACACUCCAUUCCCUCGCACAAGCACACCUACCGGCAAUUUGACAACUCCAAUUAGCCUCAGCAUGUUUUUGGACUGUGGGGGGAAAUCAGAGUCCCUGGAGGGAAACCCACAAUGACACAGGGGGAGCAUGCAAACUCCAUACACAAGGAACUCCAGCGAAGACUUGAGUACACGUGCCAGAGGAGUGAGGCGACAGUGCAAACCACUGCACCACCAUGCCACCCUGAUACAAUAGAUACAUUAAAAUAUGUUAAUAAAAUCAUUUAUCUCACCUGUUCACUAUCAGUGCCCUGGGAUGUGAACACUAAUUCAUUGUUCUCCAUCUAAUCAUUUUCUCUGUAGAAUAUCUUUCAUAAUUUAUAUUUCAGUUUUAAGAGUGACCUUUUCUUAGUCUUUGUUGACUAACAGAACACUGCUUUUUAUUAACUAUCAUUUCUCCUGUUUCCACUGCUCUCCUUUUCUCUGCACAUGAUGAAGAAGGAGGGGAUAAUGAAAAACGGAGGUGGGAGCAGGUUCUGGAUGCUGUACUGAAAGCUGGGAUUGGUGUGUUUUACCUGAUUUGCACCAUCAUCACCAUUCAGCUGCACUGGACCUCCUGUAGAGAGCGGGAACCAAUCAGAGAGAAGCAGAGGGUCUCCCUGGAUCAGAGGAAGCUGGCAGAGGAGAUGACCUUCGUGGAGCAGAAUGAGUCAGACGAGCUGUAAAAUAAACGGUUAUGCUAACUGCAGUAAGGCCUCUCUCACUCGGCCCUGCUCAGUCUGUACAGUCAUAGCAUGAGAGUCAGUUAAACACAGAGGGGAUGAUUAUCUGCUGGCAACCUGUACAACCACGUAUUGGCCACUUAUUCACAAGUGCUUUGCUGCCACCUGCUGGUUAAUGUUUAAUAAUCGUUAUCUUGUGAAGGUAAGACUGGUUUUUAUUAAAUUGUCUCUUGAUUCUGAAAAAAUAUGGUACUAUGCAAAAGUCUUGGGCCAUCAAAGAAAACGUUUAAUGCUAUUUAAUUGGGUUGUGUAUAUUUGCUCAGAACAAAAACACAAUUAUCAUAAAAAUAUAUGCAAAUUAAAAGUGACACAGUAAAAAUUAACAAGAAUUUCUUCUUUUCUCCAUAAAGUUACUGAUGCCUUGUUGGAUCGCUAGAUGAACCACGCUUUGGAUCCUAAACCUCUCCUCAGGGGCAUCCCAGCCAUUCCAUGUAUUUGUUAAAUUCUGCCACCAGCUCACUUAAUUAAUUAAUUUAAUUAAACAAAUGUUAAUGAUGCAUUGAUUAGCCAUAGGAGUUGUGUUAUAAAAAUAUAUAGGUCUAUUGGAUGGUUGGUGCAAAUGUUUUACUAACUUUAGAAGAGAUUUUGAAAUGACUGGGCUGCCACACUUUGACGGACAAAAUAUUAUAAUUCCAGACCAAGAUGAAGAUCAUUUGAACAUCAUUUUCUUUGACAGCCCAAGACUUUUGUACAGUUUUGUAUGUGUCUUUUAUACUGGUCAUUAUUUGUUUAAAUACAUGAUUAAUAAAUUGAUACUUUACAAAACA
Brienomyrus brachyistius is the source of this 3736-nucleotide long non-coding RNA. RefSeq lists it as uncharacterized. The record is from RefSeq and is a predicted model, not a curated record. The transcript has 2 exons. NCBI's taxonomy places the organism in Eukaryota, Metazoa, Chordata, Actinopteri, Osteoglossiformes, Mormyridae.